GACUCUGUUCACGGCCGCGGUAUCCUAACCGUGCGAAGGUAGCGUAAUCACUUGUUCUUUAAAUGUGGACUAGUAUGAAUGGCAUCACGAAGGUUAUACUGUCUCCUUUUUCUAAUCAGUGAAACUAAUCUCCCCGUGAAGAAGCGAGGAUAAAACUAUAAGACGAGAAGACCCUAUGGAGCUUUAAACAUUUAUAACACUUGCUAAAUAAAAUACAAAUUUCAGAAUUAUUUAAUCUUUAAGCAACUUGUCUAUAAGUUUUUGGUUGGGGUGACCGCGGAGCAUAAUACAACCUCCAUGUUGAAAGAUCUAUUUCUAAGCUAAGAGCUACACCUCUAAGCAUCAACAUAUUGACAUCCAUUGACCCAAUAUAUUUGAACAACGAACCAAGUUACCCUAGGGAUAACAGCGCAAUCCACUUCAAGAGCUCCUAUCGACAAGUGGGUUUACGACCUCGAUGUUGGAUCAGGGUUUCCCAGUGGUGCAGCCGCUACUAAAGGUUCGUUUGUUCAACGAUUAAACCCUACGUG
The sequence is a ribosomal RNA, 530 nucleotides long. It matches the Rfam family "Bacterial large subunit ribosomal RNA", at positions 1917 to 2602 of the family's 2925-position model.